This is a long non-coding RNA of Oreochromis niloticus (Nile tilapia), 214 nucleotides long. RefSeq lists it as uncharacterized. NCBI's taxonomy places the organism in Eukaryota, Metazoa, Chordata, Actinopteri, Cichliformes, Cichlidae. The record is from RefSeq and is a predicted model, not a curated record. The transcript has 3 exons.
GUUAAAGAGGGAACACACUUGUCUAAUUUAUUAUCAGCAUCAAUGUCCACGUGAAGAACCUAGUUAUGUUGCCAGUGUCAACCCAACAAAAGUGUAUGGAACUGAGGUGCUUCGUCAGGAGCUGCUUCAGUUGUUGGAGGAUGGAGAAGAGGACGCAGCCAUGACUUUUGAGAUGGCGUCUGAGUCAGCUACUACUCACUAGGAGAUCAGAAAC